RNAcentral lists this signal recognition particle RNA (266 nucleotides) under Caldisericum exile AZM16c01. RNAcentral's name for it is "Bacterial large signal recognition particle RNA". It matches the Rfam family "Bacterial large signal recognition particle RNA". From Rfam's summary of the family: The signal recognition particle (SRP) is a universally conserved ribonucleoprotein involved in the co-translational targeting of proteins to membranes. Lineage: Bacteria; Pseudomonadati; Caldisericota; Caldisericia; Caldisericales; Caldisericaceae. The record is from Rfam by way of RNAcentral.
CUGUGCUAAAGCGGGGAGAUAGCGGUGCCCUGUAACCCUGAACCCGCUAUACAGGGGCUGAUAAUCUGCUGGAAGGCAUGCUGUUGUAAACCGAGGCAGAUUGAAAGGGCUAUGAAGGCAGGACCUCAAGCAAUACUUACUCUUGAACCCCGCGAGCUCCGGAAGGAAGCAACGGUAAAAGAGUCAGGUAUUUGGCUUGAGAAAAUCUUGCUGGAGCCUCGUAAAUCUGUACAGUUUGUAACAACAUGUCAACCGCAGAUGCACAG